Molecule: ribosomal RNA, 250 nt
Filed under: uncultured bacterium
Lineage: Bacteria
Description: partial 16S ribosomal RNA
Rfam family: Bacterial small subunit ribosomal RNA
Source: RNAcentral
UACGGAGGGGGCUAGCGUUGUUCGGAAUUACUGGGCGUAAAGCGCGCGUAGGCGGAUUGAAAAGUCAGAGGUGAAAUCCCAGGGCUCAACCUUGGAACUGCCUUUGAAACUAUCAGUCUUGAGUUCGAGAGAGGUGAGUGGAAUUCCGAGUGUAGAGGUGAAAUUCGUAGAUAUUCGGAGGAACACCAGUGGCGAAGGCGGCUCACUGGCUCGAUACUGACGCUGAGGUGCGAAAGUGUGGGGAGCAAAC